Molecule: ribosomal RNA, 405 nt
Filed under: uncultured bacterium
Lineage: Bacteria
Description: bacterial SSU rRNA
Rfam family: Bacterial small subunit ribosomal RNA
Source: RNAcentral
AACGAACGCUGGCGGCAGGCCUUAUACAUGCAAGUCGAGCGCACCUUCGGGUGAGCGGCGGACGGGUGAGUAACGCGUGGGAACAUACCCUUCUCUGCGGAAUAGCCUCUGGAAACGGAGAGUAAUACCGCAUACGCCCUUCGGGGGAAAGAUUUAUCGGAGAUGGAUUGGCCCGCGUUAGAUUAGGUAGUUGGUGGGGUAACGGCCUACCAAGCCUACGAUCUAUAGCUGGUUUGAGAGGAUGAUCAGCCACACUGGGACUGAGACACGGCCCAGACUCCUACGGGAGCAGCAGUAGGGAAUCUUAGACAAUGGGGAAACCCUGAUCUAGCCAUGCCGCGUGUGUGACGAAGGCCUUAGGGCUAAAGCACUUUCGCAGGGAUGAUAAUGACAGUACCUGGUAAA